RNAcentral lists this long non-coding RNA (262 nucleotides) under Lathyrus oleraceus (garden pea). Its description in RNAcentral is "Pisum sativum (pea) long non-coding RNA (PSAT_LNC006487)". Lineage: Eukaryota; Viridiplantae; Streptophyta; Magnoliopsida; Fabales; Fabaceae. The record is from RNAcentral.
UGGAUGCUUCCCAUUGGUUAGAACUUUUCAACUCUAAACUAUUAAAUCUUUUCUAGUAUAAUCCCUUCAUCUCUUCCUCCUUCUUUAAUUUUAAAAUCUCUCCCUCAUUUUCAAAAUUGCGUUGCUGGUAAUUUUCAACUUAGACUUGUUUUAUGAGUAGAAACCUUAGCCUUAUGCCAUUGAUUUUCAAAAUAUUUUCUUAAUCAAAUUUGUAAAUAAACUUAAUCAUAUUGACCUUAUUUUCAAAGAGACUCAAAAGAAC